Dendrobium catenatum is the source of this 107-nucleotide small nucleolar RNA. The record is from RefSeq and is a predicted model, not a curated record. Lineage: Eukaryota; Viridiplantae; Streptophyta; Magnoliopsida; Asparagales; Orchidaceae.
AAAGUAUGAUGAGGCUAUUUUCUAAGUCUCUCCUUAAAUCUCUCCUAACUUUUAUAAAUUCACUUUCCUUCAAACUGAGCAAAAGAAGUGAUGCCAUUUCUAAGAUU